RNAcentral lists this transfer RNA (68 nucleotides) under Succinea putris (European ambersnail). Its description in RNAcentral is "tRNA-Leu". The record is from RNAcentral. Lineage: Eukaryota; Metazoa; Mollusca; Gastropoda; Stylommatophora; Succineidae.
AAUAAUUUGGCAGAUUUUAUGCGAAUGAUUUAGAAUCAUUAAAUACUGAAUUUUUUUAGUAAUUAUUU